Non-coding RNA from Paramuricea clavata, 217 nucleotides. Lineage: Eukaryota; Metazoa; Cnidaria; Anthozoa; Malacalcyonacea; Plexauridae. The record is from the annotation of a GenBank genome assembly.
ACUUAAGCCUAAUUUCUAUUUGGUUGUUAGUUGUCGCUGGCACGACAAGCGGUAGUUGUGAAGUAGUCUAAUAUAAUAAUAGUUUUGUAUGUGUUAUAUGCAAAUCAGUCUUAAUAUAAUGAUUGCAGAGUUUUGUAAAGUUUUGUUGACGCUCUAUUACAUCAGCCACUUGUCGUGCCAGCGACAACUUACGACCAAAUGGAAACUAGGCUUUAGU